UAAAUGAACAUGUCUGAAACGCGCUGAA
RNAcentral lists this non-coding RNA (28 nucleotides) under Bombyx mori (domestic silkworm). Lineage: Eukaryota; Metazoa; Arthropoda; Insecta; Lepidoptera; Bombycidae. The record is from RNAcentral.